UCUGAUAAAUCAUAGAAGGUCCAGCCUGCCCAGUGAAUUAAUUUAACGGCCGCGGUAUCCUAACCGUGCGAAGGUAGCGUAAUCACUUGUUCUUUAAAUAAGGACUAGUAUGAAUGGCACCACGAAGGUUAUACUGUCUCCCUUUUUUGAUCAGUUAAACUAAUCUUCACGUGAAGAAGCGUGAAUAAAUAUAUAAGACGAGAAGACCCUAUGGAGCUUAAAAUUACGCAACAAUUGCUAUUAAUCUUAAAUUUUAUGAAUAAUUUUUUACUAAACACCAUGAUUGCUAAUUUUUGGUUGGGGUGACCGCGGAGUAAAAAUUAACCUCCACAAUGAAAGAAAUCAUAUUCUAAACUAAGAGCCACAACUCAAAGUAUUAAUAUUUUAACAUUCUUUGAUCCAAUUAUUUGAUCAACGAAC
This 420-nucleotide ribosomal RNA is filed under the name Engystomops freibergi group sp. ABGD cluster 3. RNAcentral's name for it is "partial large subunit ribosomal RNA". It matches the Rfam family "Bacterial large subunit ribosomal RNA", at positions 1822 to 2439 of the family's 2925-position model. Lineage: Eukaryota; Metazoa; Chordata; Amphibia; Anura; Leptodactylidae. The record is from RNAcentral.